AAGGGCAUAACCUAAAAAAAAAGAUUGGCAGACUCACAAACCCUAUCAUGGAUUGAACCAUAUCUAACAAGAUUCGAUUCCUCCUCCCAAGAGAUGUCUAUUAUGAAAGAAUCUCAUUCUCUUCUAGAUAUAUCAAAAACUCAUUGAAAAAGUAUUCAUCUCCUCAAUCAGAUUGAAGAGUUCUAAUACUCUUCCCAGUUUGUUUCUUUAUUUC
This 214-nucleotide long non-coding RNA is filed under the name Elaeis guineensis (African oil palm). RNAcentral describes it as "long non-coding RNA (EGUI_LNC068368)". Lineage: Eukaryota; Viridiplantae; Streptophyta; Magnoliopsida; Arecales; Arecaceae. The record is from RNAcentral.